This 96-nucleotide transfer RNA is filed under the name Candidatus Wolframiiraptor sp. EX4484-121. RNAcentral's name for it is "Thaumarchaeota archaeon ex4484_121 tRNA-Glu". Lineage: Archaea; Thermoproteati; Nitrososphaerota; Candidatus Wolframiiraptoraceae. The record is from RNAcentral.
GCCCCGGUAGUAUAGUCCGGUUAAGUAUACGGGCCUCUCGAGCCCGUGACCCGGGUUCAAUCGGCCAGAUGGCCGGAACAGAUCCCGGCCGGGGCA